AGUUUGAUCCUGGCUCAGAGCGAACGCUGGCGGCGUGCUUAACACAUGCAAGUCGAGUGCGCAGUUCCCUGUAGCAAUACAGGGGAUGGGCGCACGGCGCACGGGUGCGUAACACGUGGGCAAUCUGCCCUCGGAUGGGGGAUAACCCCGCGAAAGCGGGGCUAAUACCGCAUGACAUUCCGGAGACUCCGGUCUCUGGACUCAAAGGCCGCAAGGCCGUCUGAGGAGGAGCCCGCGCCCGAUUAGCUAGUUGGUGAGGUAACGGCUCACCAAGGCUUUGAUCGUUAGCUGGUCUGAGAGGAUGGCCAGCCACACUGGAACUGAGACACGGUCCAGACUCCUACGGGAGGCAGCAGUGGGGAAUCUUGCAUAAUGGGCGAAAGCCUGAUGCAGCGACGCCGCGUGGGGGAUGAAGCUUCUUGGAGUGUAAACCCCUUUCGACCCGGACGAAUGCCCCGCAAGGGGACUGACGGUACGGGUAUAAGAAGCCCCGGCUAACUACGUGCCAGCAGCCGCGGUAAUACGUAGGGGGCCAGCGUUGCUCGGAAUUACUGGGCGUAAAGGGUCCGUAGGCGGUGCGGCAAGUCGAUAGUGAAAUCUCUGGGCUUAACCCAGAGGCUGCUAACGAAACUGCCGUGCUAGAGUGUGAGAGAGGCGAGUGGAAUUACGGGUGUAGCGGUGAAAUGCGUAGAUAUCCGUAGGAACAUCCGAGGCGAAAGCGGCUCGCUGGAUCACAACUGACGCUGAGGGACGAAAGCUAGGGGAGCAAACAGGAUUAGAUACCCUGGUAGUCCUAGCCCUAAACCAUCACGACUUGGGGUUUGCCCUGUACAGGGCAAGUCCCGUAGCUAACGCGUUAAGUCCUGCGCCUGGGGAGUACGGUCGCAAGGCUGAAACUCAAAGGAAUUGACGGGGGUCCCGCACAGCGGUGGACAUGUGAUCAUUCGACGCUACGCGAGGACUUACCUGGGCUCGAAUGCUCUGACAGCUGUAGAAUACGCUCCGCAGGACAGGAGUAUAGGCGCUGCAUGCUGUCGUCAGCUCGUGCCGUGAGGUGUUGGGUUAAGUCCCGCAACGAUCGCAACCCUAUCACUAGUUACCAGCGGUCCGGCCGGGGACUCUAGUGAGACCGCCGAUAUUCAAAUCGGAGGAAGGUGGGGACGACGUCAAGUCAUCAUGGCCCUUAUGUCCAGGGCCACACACGUGCUACAAUGGUUGCUACAAAGCGCUGCAAACCCGCGAGGGGAAGCCAAUCGCAAAAAAGCAACCUCAGUACAGAUAAGAGUCUGCAACUCGACUCUUUGAAGUCGGAAUCGCUAGUAAUCGCUGAUCAGCAGGCAGCGGUGAAUACGUUCCCGGGCCUUGUACACACCGCCCGUCACACCAUGGGAGUCGUUUGCUCCAGAAGUGCCUGCGCCAAUCGCAAGGAGGCGGGGCCCCAAGGAGUGACCGGUAACUGGGGUGAAGUCGUAACAAGGUA
Molecule: ribosomal RNA, 1480 nt
Filed under: uncultured bacterium
Lineage: Bacteria
Description: bacterial SSU rRNA
Rfam family: Bacterial small subunit ribosomal RNA
Source: RNAcentral